AACGAACGCUGGCGGCAUGCCUAACACAUGCAAGUCGAACGAGACCUUCGGGUCUAGUGGCGCACGGGUGCGUAACGCGUGGGAACCUGCCCUUAGGUUCGGAAUAACUCCCCGAAAGGGGUGCUAAUACCGGAUAAUGUCUUCGGACCAAAGAUUUAUCGCCUUUGGAUGGGCCCGCGUUGGAUUAGCUAGUUGGUAGGGUAAAAGCCUACCAAGGCGACGAUCCAUAGCUGGUCUGAGAGGAUGAUCAGCCACACUGGGACUGAGACACGGCCCAGACCCCUAGGGGGGCAGGAAGGGGGGAAUAUGGGAAAAGGGGGAAAGCCCUGACCCAGCAUGGCGGGGGGAGUGAUGAGGGCUUUGGGGUUGAAAAGCUUUUUUCCCCGGGAUGAAAAUGAAAGUACGGGGAGAAAAAGCCCCGGCUACCCCCGU
RNAcentral lists this ribosomal RNA (432 nucleotides) under uncultured bacterium. RNAcentral describes it as "partial 16S ribosomal RNA". It matches the Rfam family "Bacterial small subunit ribosomal RNA", at positions 29 to 506 of the family's 1533-position model. The record is from RNAcentral.